UUUUAUUUUAUACUUUAAACAUUGAUUUUAUUUUUUAUGUUUUUAGAUAUUUAUGUUUUUGAAUGUUUUAUUCAAAUAAUAUAAAAAAUAAAAUAUAUAUUGACAUGGAUUAAACAAAGAUAUAUAUUAUUCUAUGUUGUAUAAACAAAUUGGCAAAAUAGAGAUGGAAGAUAAAAAUA
RNAcentral lists this unclassified non-coding RNA (179 nucleotides) under Borreliella garinii. RNAcentral describes it as "partial 5S-23S ribosomal RNA intergenic spacer". The record is from RNAcentral. Lineage: Bacteria; Pseudomonadati; Spirochaetota; Spirochaetia; Spirochaetales; Borreliaceae.